Molecule: ribosomal RNA, 481 nt
Filed under: uncultured bacterium
Lineage: Bacteria
Description: partial 16S ribosomal RNA
Rfam family: Bacterial small subunit ribosomal RNA
Source: RNAcentral
UUGAACGCUGGCGGCAUGCCUUACACAUGCAAGUCGAACGGUAACGGGCCUUCGGGUGCCGACGAGUGGCGAACGGGUGAGUAAUACAUCGGAACGUGCCCGAUCGUGGGGGAUAACGAGGCGAAAGCUUUGCCAAUACCGCAUACGAUCUACGGAUGAAAGCAGGGGACCGCAAGGCCUUGCGCGGACGGAGCGGCCGAUGGCAGAUUCGGUAGUUGGUGGGAUAAAAGCUUACCAAGCCGGCGAUCUGUAGCUGGUCUGAGAGGAUGAUCAGCCACACUGGGACUGAGACACGGCCCAGACUCCUACGGGAGGCAGCAGUGGGGAAUUUUGGACAAUGGGCGCAAGCCUGAUCCAGCCAUGCCGCGUGCAGGAUGAAGGCCUUCGGGUUGUAAACUGCUUUUGUACGGAACGAAAAGCCUUCUUUUAAUACAGGAGGGUCAUGACGGUACCGUAAGAAUAAGCACCGGCUAACUACGUG